RNAcentral lists this ribosomal RNA (494 nucleotides) under uncultured bacterium. RNAcentral's name for it is "partial 16S ribosomal RNA". It matches the Rfam family "Bacterial small subunit ribosomal RNA", at positions 28 to 507 of the family's 1533-position model. The record is from RNAcentral.
GACGAACGCUGGCGGCGUGCUUAACACAUGCAAGUCGAACGGAAAGGCCUGCUUUCCCUUGUGGAUUGCGGGUACUCGAGUGGCGAACGGGUGAGUAACACGUGAGUGAUCUGCCCCCAACUUGGGUAUAAGCCUGGGAAACUGGGUCUAAUUCCCGAUAGGACUGCAGGGUGGUGCCUGUGGUGGAAAACGAUUUUCUAGUGGUUGGGGAUGAGCUCGCGGCCUAUCAGCUUGUUGGUGGGGUAAUGGCCUACCAAGGCGGCGACGGGUAGCCGGCCUGAGAGGGUGGACGGCCGCAUUGGGACUGGGAUACGGCCCAGACUCCUACGGGCGGCAGCAGUGGGGAAUAUUGCACAAUGGGCGGAAGCCUGAUGCAGCGACGCCGCGUGGGGGAUGACGGCCUUCUGGUUGUAAACUCCUUUCGACCGCGAGGAAGCCACCUGGUUGGAAGGGUGGUGACGGUAGUGGUAGAAGAAGCACCGGCUAACUACGUG